UACGGAGGGUGCAAGCGUUAUCCGGAAUCACUGGGUUUAAAGGGUGCGUAGGCGGCCAGCACAAGUCAGUUGUGAAAUCUCCGAGCUUAACUCGGAAAGGUCAACUGAUACUGUGCGGCUAGAGUGCGGAAGGGGCAACUGGAAUUCUCGGUGUAGCGGUGAAAUGCGUAGAUAUCAAGAGGAACACCUGCGGCGAAGGCGGGUUGCUGGGCCGACACUGACGCUGAUGCGCGAAAGCCAGGGGAGCGAACGGG
Molecule: ribosomal RNA, 254 nt
Filed under: uncultured bacterium
Lineage: Bacteria
Description: partial 16S ribosomal RNA
Rfam family: Bacterial small subunit ribosomal RNA
Source: RNAcentral